GCUGGUGUAAAUGAUGACUUUACUUUUUUCCCCAUCAGAUCGAUCAUGCUGAUCUCUAAAUACUUGCCAGUUAAUUCUGAUGCAUCAGC
Molecule: small nucleolar RNA, 89 nt
Organism: Rhinolophus ferrumequinum (greater horseshoe bat)
Lineage: Eukaryota; Metazoa; Chordata; Mammalia; Chiroptera; Rhinolophidae
Gene: SNORD12C
Product: small nucleolar RNA, C/D box 12C
Source: Ensembl